Molecule: non-coding RNA, 72 nt
Organism: Ictidomys tridecemlineatus (thirteen-lined ground squirrel)
Lineage: Eukaryota; Metazoa; Chordata; Mammalia; Rodentia; Sciuridae
Source: Rfam
GGGGUUGUGGCUCAGCGGUAGGGUGCUCGCCUCGCACGCAUGAGGCCCUGGGUUCGAUCCUCAGCACCACCU